AACUCAGUGGGCUCAUUCCUGGGCCUGGUUCAUCGUCUGAUUAUUUUAGGUGCCAUUUAAGAAGUAUAAUGAGAGAUGAAAAAUUGGAAAGGAAGAAACUGAGGCCCUGAGAGGUAAAGUGAAUGCUUUGACUGUAAGUUCUCCUUAAGCAGCAGAGGAACGGAGUACAC
Molecule: long non-coding RNA, 170 nt
Filed under: Capra hircus (goat)
Lineage: Eukaryota; Metazoa; Chordata; Mammalia; Artiodactyla; Bovidae
Description: lncRNA (ENSCHIG00000000981.1)
Source: RNAcentral